UUACAAAUAUCAUGCCGAGGAGAAAAAUAACUGAUUUAUGGGUUGUUCGAGCUUUUGAAGACCAUGGAGAAAGAAAUAAUGAGGAAUUGAAUGCACAUGAGUCUUCUGAAGUUCCUGAAACUGUUGAAGAAGAAGUAUAAAUUCAAGUUGAAAAUGCUAGAACGCGCAAGACUCAAGGACGUACAACUUUAAAGGAAUUAUAUCAACUUCCUCCUGGGACUCGUGUCAAAGUUUCAAGAAAUGAUGUCGGUCAACCUAUUAGCCCAGAAGCACGUCUUCUAGCAGGUUACUUAGGCAUAGUUGGACUUAAUGUGAAUAUGUUACCGAUCAAUAAUGAGUCAUGGAGCGAAAUGCCUAAUAGUAACAAAAAUCAGGUGUUGGAAUUUAUUAAGGAUAAAUUUUCUUUAGAGGUCUCUGACGAUUAUAUGAAGCAAACUUUAGGGAAGAGAUAGAAGGACCACAAGAUCUCCUUAAAGAAGAAAUACUUCAAGAAUGAUCUCAGCCUUGAAGAGAAGCUGCAA
Long non-coding RNA from Hibiscus syriacus, 521 nucleotides. RefSeq lists it as uncharacterized. Lineage: Eukaryota; Viridiplantae; Streptophyta; Magnoliopsida; Malvales; Malvaceae. The transcript is spliced from 3 exons. The record is from RefSeq and is a predicted model, not a curated record.